CAAACAUAUGUAAUCACUUUAUAUUUUAUUUGGUUUGUUCAUGAAUUGAAGGAUAUGAGGAAUCUACUCUUUUCCAUUUACAACUCAUGACUUAAUAUUUAGACAAAAAAAUUAGUCAUGGCCAUUUCCUAAUUCAGAAACCAGCGUUUUAACUCACUGAUCUAAUCUAAUUUAAGCGAAUCUGGCUUUUAACAUCUCUUCAGAUUAAGAGAUUCUCCAUUUCCAAUGCACUCUGGUGUUAAUGUGGAAACUGGAUCUCUGUUUUCUUUGUUAUGGGAGUAAGGGCUGUUUGUCCAGGUUAUGCAACCGAUGGCUGGUUUUCUGUCAUCAAUCACUCUACAGAAGCCUGGCUGGACUGCCUGUGACCUCCACCCACACCAACCGCUCUGUUAUUGCCACCAGCCUGGAAAUCACUGGCUAACAGUUGUUUAUUACAGAGGAAACCCGUCCCACUCCCCUCAUCUCCGGCGAAAACAUUCUUAUCUGUAAUGCUGGAUGUUCUGCUAGAGCGGGCUGCUCUUAUCUCUUUGAAUCUCUCUGUCGGAUUUUUUAACUUGAAACGCAAAGGAGACCUUUUGACCUGCCUGUCAACCUCGCUGGCCCCCAAACCCUUCCCCGGCUUCUUUGAAUGGAACUUGACAAGAACAACAACUGCGCUCAUCACUUAGGAAUUCCCAACCCUUGACCUUCCUGCAUUCAUCAAAAAAGUCAGAGGCGAGUGUCAAGAGUCACUUUCAAGUCACCGUGGCUUUCCGUGUUUAAACGUUUAUGGAUAUUCAACUUCUCAGACUUGCAAACAUGUCACACUCGGUACAUUUGGGAAAGCUGUCCUGAUUCAAUGUCUUCAGUCUUUGUUCCACGUCGCUCUUUCUCUUUUUCAUCACUCUCUCCCAUCCGCAUUAUAAGAGACCCCUGAGAGGAGCAAAGGGGGCGAGAAAGAAAGAGAGCAGAGGACUGGAACAAGGCAAAUGGGUAGAAGGAGGUUAUUGUGGAAAAAGGGAUUACUGCCUGGCAUUGUCCUGCCUUAAUCCCACCAUUUUACUAUCAUUUAACACCUUUCAAUGGCGGCCCCCCACUUCCCAUCCUCCUCCGCACACACAAUCUGCUCUCAACCUCCCUCCUCAGACAGCGUGAAAUCUGUUAUUCAGCCCAGGUCAAGCGGGUGGGGGGCCUGGAUGUUGGGUGGGGUGACAAGUAUGGGGGUGUGGGGUGUUUCGGGGGACGUCCGGCCGUUUUCUGACCCCAGCUUCAUCUAUUCUCCACGGCUCAACUCAGGGGCCCCAUAACCCCCUUGGUUGAGAUUGAUGGCCUGCUGUUGUAAAAGAAACCAACACGCUGCUCAAACAAGCAUACAUGGACAUUACUGGCAGCGAAGCUGACUUGUGACGCCAAUCGUUGAUUAUCCCAAAUGAUGUUCUUGUCUUUCUUCAGAGCAAAUGCGUUUCAUUACUUUUCACUAUGUAACUGAUGUCAUACACUAUAUAGAAUUCUGAAAUGAAUGAAUAUUUCCACUAGGGUUUCAUUUCUGCUAUGUAUUGUGGUUAUGACAUUUUAAACAUUUUUGGAAAGAAAUGACUAACUAAUUUGUCUGACUUAGGCUUCCUUUACAUUUUAUGCAUACGAAAUACAGAAAAUUAAAUGAUAAUUUUAUACUUAUUGCAUUACUUGACAAAGUUACAGGAAUGAUUGGAAAUCCUGCUAAAUAAAAAUAUUCUGUUCAUAUUUAUAUAUUAUAUAAUAAGUGUAUAAAUAUUUUUUUUUUGAAACUGAGAUUUAUACAUCAUCUGAAUAAAUAAGCUUUCCAUUGAUGUAUGGUUUCCAUUGAUGUAUGUCCUAUCAUAUAUUGAUAGGACAAUAUUUGGCUGAGAUAUAACUAUUUGAAAAUCUGGAAUCUGAGGGUGCAAAAAAAAAUACAAAAUAAAAAAAAAGUCCAAAUGAAGUUCUUAGCAAUGCAAAUUACUAAUCAAAAGUUAAGUUUUGAUAUAUUUACAGUAGGAAAUUCACUAAAUAUAUUCAUGGAACAUGAUCUUUACUUAAUAUUCUAAUGAUUUUUGGCAUAAAAGAAAAAUCAAUAAUUUUGACCCAUACAAUGUAUUGUUGGCUAUUGCUACAAAUAUAUCUGUGCUACUGAAGACUGAUUUUUGGUCCAGGGUCACAUAUUAUAUUCAUAUUUAUUUUUACUUUUUCUUUGUUUUCUUCAUCUCAGGCUUUCUCUACUACUGACUAUCCUUAAUAAUAUAUAUAUUUUUAAAAAGUUUAUGUUUUUUAUUAACGUUGUUAAAAUGACAUCAGAGCUAUGAGAUGGUCAUAAUGUUCCCCCAUCUAUCUAUCCAUCCAUCCUUCCUCACCACGCCACCCUCCUUCUGAAUAAAAGUGCAGCUGUCAUUUGUUGUCAGUUUUUCCGGCCCCUGCGAGCACUGAGGGCCGCUCCUGGGCCGGGGGUGGGCCAGACCUGGAGGGAGGGAAUGUGGGGGAAACUGAACAGGUGCUGCUCCCCCUUCACUCUCUCUGGAGUCCUGAGGAGAGGAAGUCAGGGCUCUGCUGAAGGGAUUAGAGCUCUGGAUCAAACAGAAGAGCGGCCGUUCUCUCUCUCUGAGGCAAACCCAUGAAUUUGUCGACACUUACACUGUGCCACAGCAACAACAGG
Molecule: long non-coding RNA, 2647 nt
Organism: Cyprinus carpio carpio
Lineage: Eukaryota; Metazoa; Chordata; Actinopteri; Cypriniformes; Cyprinidae
Source: Ensembl